AUACUUACCUGGUGCUGGGGCUACCUUGAUCAGCCAGGAGCUGCCUCCAGGUAGAGUGUGGCCAGUGCACCUCAGCUGUGGUGACCCUUGCCAUUAUCUCAAACUGGGAGAGAUUGGGCAUGCAAUUCUUGGUAGUGGAAGUCUGCAUUCACGCUGUCCCUCC
This is a small nuclear RNA of Ixodes scapularis (black-legged tick), 163 nucleotides long. RefSeq annotates it as U1 spliceosomal RNA. Lineage: Eukaryota; Metazoa; Arthropoda; Arachnida; Ixodida; Ixodidae. The record is from RefSeq and is a predicted model, not a curated record. The transcript has a single exon.